Metopolophium dirhodum (rose-grain aphid) is the source of this 1680-nucleotide long non-coding RNA. RefSeq lists it as uncharacterized. The transcript has 3 exons. Lineage: Eukaryota; Metazoa; Arthropoda; Insecta; Hemiptera; Aphididae. The record is from RefSeq and is a predicted model, not a curated record.
UUAUGAUUUAUUUUUAUUUAAUCGUAAUAAUAUUGUUAAUUAAUGCGGGAUAGUAUUUUGAGCGUAAAUUGAAAACAAAGGCUGGCUUACCAACCACCGGUGUAGAGGACGAUGAUGAAAUAGUUUAAAUAACUUUUCAAUAAUUUCGACAUAAAAUAUAAUAAAUUUGAAUGUCGGAGAUGGGUAAAUACUUUUAUUAGGUAUUUCCACAUUUGUAUUACACGAGCUUUUACGUUGUAAACCAAAAAAAAUAACCAAGUAAUAUAAUUUAUGAAAAUUAAUAAUCUAUCUUCCUCUAUCAUAUUCCUAUUAAUAAUAAGCAUCAAUGAUUAUACUUUUGAUAUAAUGCAGCAAGUACGUACGAUACUUGUACAAAGACCAUUUAAAUCGAUAUAAUGUUUAAAUCGACUGCGAUUAUUUUGGCAAUUAGAUUUUAUAAUAUCUAAUACACAAAUCGUGCUCUACACUAACAAUUUUUUUUUCACUUUUUUUCACUAUUUAAUCUGUAUCGGAUAAAGUAGUGUGCUUGAUUGAUUGUCAAGGUACAGGCCCGUAUUUUAGUAUUUCUGUGCUGCACAUCAUAUCGUCGCGCAUAGUACCUUUAACGCAAAUUAUAAAUCCACCAGAAGAAUCAAAAUAAACCGUGUUUGCACAGUUUGUUUGAGUUUAAUUCCCGGUAUAAUUUUUCCUUUGACGUUUUAUGUUCCACGUAAUAUAUUAUUUAAGUACUCUGUGACAAAAAAUAAUAUCUAAUUUUCAAACGUUCCGCCGACUUACGCGUAUAAUGUACAUAAUGGUAAUAUAUUAUAUUAUACCUAUACCGUCGUAUAAUGUUCGGCGAAAUCGCUUCUCUUUUUUUUCUCGAAUUCUGAUGUAUCAUAUAUUCAUUAAUAAACGAGAAACGUAUACAUUUAGGUACGCACUACUACGAAAACGGUCGACAUACAUAUAAUCCUUUGCCGGCACACUAUAGGCGUACUAUAUUGUUCAAAGGCUGAUGGCUACGAUACGAUAAAUACUACACGACCGUGGCCCCGGGGCCAGGAAAAAUAAUUUAAAAAUAAAACGGACCAAGGAAAAUGACUAAUUUUCUCCACGGUACGUGACUUCCACAUAUUAUUAGACACAUUAUUGUACGGACUUUUGCUUCACUGUAUUCGCUGAACUCCACGAGAGGUUUUCUAGACUUAAUUCGAUUUCGAAGACUCUUCUGCGCAGGACGGCACGGCGGUCGUUCAGUCCACAGUACACCGCGCGUAUUUCUAUACUAUACAGGUCACGAAGACUGUCGUUGAACUGGGGAGGGAUCGGUAUCUGCCGUCGGCUAGUUCUAUUGACACACCGGGGAUAGAGUAAUUUCACUUACACAAUACAUAAUAUAAGAUACCUAUGUAGAAGUGAAAUGCAAGAAAAAAGGCGUCGGAAUUUUGAUCAGCCUCGGUGGUAAAAAAAAAGGUCUUGCGCCGAUUUGGCUUAAGGUUAUCGAUGAAAGGGGAUGAUUUUUUCCUUCUAUGCUGAAUGUUUUUUACCCUUUCUCCGCUUCCUUCAUUUAUACGAUUUUCAUUUCGAGUCGGUUUUACCACCCGCCACGUACCCACUAAGGCGUAGAGACGCCACGACAACAAAAGAUUUCGAUGGCGACUGCUGGGGUGCAAUAAAAGUCGUACAAAGUGAUGUUCA